This 787-nucleotide ribosomal RNA is filed under the name uncultured bacterium. RNAcentral describes it as "bacterial SSU rRNA". It matches the Rfam family "Bacterial small subunit ribosomal RNA", at positions 8 to 808 of the family's 1533-position model. The record is from RNAcentral.
AGAGUUUGAUCCUGGCUCAGGACGAACGCUGGCGGCGCGCCUAACACAUGCAAGUCGAACGAGCGAGAGGAGGUUUACUUUCUCAAGCGAGUGGCGAACGGGUGAGUAACGCGUGAGGAACCUGCCUCAAAGAGGGGGACAACAGUUGGAAACGACUGCUAAUACCGCAUAAGCCCACGACCCGGCAUCGGGUAGAGGGAAAAGGAGCAAUCCGCUUUGAGAUGGCCUCGCGUCCGAUUAGCUAGUUGGUGAGGUAAUGGCCCACCAAGGCGACGAUCGGUAGCCGGACUGAGAGGUUGAACGGCCACAUUGGGACUGAGACACGGCCCAGACUCCUACGGGAGGCAGCAGUGGGGAAUAUUGCACAAUGGGGGAAACCCUGAUGCAGCGACGCCGCGUGGAGGAAGAAGGUCUUCGGAUUGUAAACUCCUGUUGUUGAGGAAGAUAAUGACGGUACUCAACAAGGAAGUGACGGCUAACUACGUGCCAGCAGCCGCGGUAAAACGUAGGUCACAAGCGUUGUCCGGAAUUACUGGGUGUAAAGGGAGCGCAGGCGGGAAGGCAAGUUGGAAGUGAAAUCCAUGGGCUCAACCCAUGAACUGCUUUCAAAACUGUUUUUCUUGAGUAGUGCAGAGGUAGGCGGAAUUCCCGGUGUAGCGGUGGAAUGCGUAGAUAUCGGGAGGAACACCAGUGGCGAAGGCGGCCUACUGGGCACCAACUGACGCUGAGGCUCGAAAGUGUGGGUAGCAAACAGGAUUAGAUACCCUGGUAGUCCACACUGUAAACG